This 832-nucleotide long non-coding RNA is filed under the name Homo sapiens (human). Its description in RNAcentral is "long non-coding RNA NONHSAT027134.2". The record is from RNAcentral. Lineage: Eukaryota; Metazoa; Chordata; Mammalia; Primates; Hominidae.
ACAGUCCCUGCAUUGCGCGCGACCCGGCGGCGGGACAGGCUUGCUGCUUCCUCCUCCUCGGCCUCACCAUUCCAGACCAAAAUUGAAAAAAUGGUUGACCUCACCCAGGUAAUGGAUGAUGAAGUAUUCAUGGCUUUUGCAUCCUAUGCAACAAUUAUUCUUUCAAAAAUGAUGCUUAUGAGUACUGCAACUGCAUUCUAUAGAUUGACAAGAAAGAGCCCACCUGAAUGACCUUGAAAAUAUUAUUCCAUUUCUUGGAAUUGGCCUCCUGUAUUCCUUGAGUGGUCCCGACCCCUCUACAGCCAUCCUGCACUUCAGACUAUUUGUCGGAGCACGGAUCUACCACACCAUUGCAUAUUUGACACCCCUUCCCCAGCCAAAUAGAGCUUUGAGUUUUUUUGUUGGAUAUGGAGUUACUCUUUCCAUGGCUUACAGGUUGCUGAAAAGUAAAUUGUACCUGUAAAGAAAAUCAUACAACUCAGCAUCCAGUUGGCUUUUUAAGAAUUCUGUACUUCCAAUUUAUAAUGAAUACUUUCUUAGAUUUUAGGUAGGAGGGGAGCAGAGGAAUUAUGAACUGGGGUAAACCCAUUUUGAAUAUUAGCAUUGCCAAUAUCCUGUAUUCUUGUUUUACAUUUGGAUUAGAAAUUUAACAUAGUAAUUCUUAAGUCUUUUGUCUGAUUUUUAAAGUACUUUCUUAUAAAUUUGGAUCAUGUUAUGAUUUGUAACAUUCACACAACACCUCACUUUUGAAUCUAUAAAAGAAUUGCACGUAUGAGAAACCUAUAUUUCAAUACUGCUGAAACAGACAUGAAAUAAAGAAUUUAAAGAAUGA